GGUUAAUACACGACUCAAGCUUAAGACCAAGCCCAAAAUACAGUCCAAUCAAGUAGAAGCCUAUUUCUACCCAAAUACAAAGCUUAAUUCCAAUACAGAGCCCAAAGCUCAUAACCCAAAUAAGCCAAACCCUACCAGAGGCUUCAAAAUAGGAAAACAAAACUAGCACUACUGCUGGUGCUUGCUUGUGGUCAACAGAUGCCAGGAAGAAGACCAAAGGCACCAUUUUGAAACACUUAGAGUAACAUAUCAAGCCAACCAAACAGAGCAAGUUCCUUGACUUAACUAUCAAUGAAACCACAAGAGGGAAGAUUGCUGCAACCUCACCAUUAGCAACUGAAGGAAGAAGGAGAACAAAGUGAUGGCAGAGCCCCUACAAGCUUCUCAAUCUCUUAUAGCCAUAGGGGGUAGCCAUAAUAAGUAGGCCAGCUCUUUCACCCUAGGGAUACUAUCCCUCCUCAACCAGAGUAAAGGAAUACUGCAGUUAUCGGAAAAAGAAACUAGAAAGCAACCCUAGAGAAGAAGGAAAAACACAGAGAAAUUUCUCUCUCUAAACCUAGAGAGAGAGAGAGAGA
Molecule: unclassified non-coding RNA, 575 nt
Filed under: Hevea brasiliensis (rubber tree)
Lineage: Eukaryota; Viridiplantae; Streptophyta; Magnoliopsida; Malpighiales; Euphorbiaceae
Source: RNAcentral